GACGAACCGGCCAAACGUUAUUCGGAAUUACUGGGCGUAAAGCGCACGCAGGCGGUCUGUCAAGUCGGAUGUGAAAUCCCCGGGCUCAACCUGGGAACUGCAUCCGAAACUGGCAGGCUAGAGUCUUGUAGAGGGGGGUAGAAUUCCAGGUGUAGCGGUGAAAUGCGUAGAGAUCUGGAGGAAUACCGGUGGCGAAGGCGGCCCCCUGGACAAAGACUGACGCUCAGACGCGAAAGCUAGGGUAGCAAACAGG
Molecule: unclassified non-coding RNA, 253 nt
Filed under: uncultured Enterobacteriaceae bacterium
Lineage: Bacteria; Pseudomonadati; Pseudomonadota; Gammaproteobacteria; Enterobacterales; Enterobacteriaceae
Description: contains 16S-23S intergenic spacer region
Rfam family: Bacterial small subunit ribosomal RNA
Source: RNAcentral